This is a long non-coding RNA of Medicago truncatula (barrel medic), 526 nucleotides long. RefSeq lists it as uncharacterized. The record is from RefSeq and is a predicted model, not a curated record. The transcript has 3 exons. NCBI's taxonomy places the organism in Eukaryota, Viridiplantae, Streptophyta, Magnoliopsida, Fabales, Fabaceae.
AUUUAAUGAAAAAUAAUCUUUGUUUCUCAGUUUCAUAAUAUAAGUAGUGGUUUCCUCAUAUACCACAAAAUCACACGGUGCAAUUUGUGCACAAAUUCAUUAUCAUCAUUUAUACCUAUAAUCAAUCUUACAGCUCACAAGGGACCUCUCAUACGGCUACCUCCUGCAUCAUAAUUACAGGGCCAUGAUAAUCUUCUCUAUAUCGUUCCAAUUUUAUAGAUAAGUUAUGUGGCAGGAAGAGAAAGAUAAAGAGAAAAUAAGAUGUUGAAUAUGCAUAGAGAAUUAUAAAGUCUUUAGAUAUAAUGGUUGGCAUCCGAAGGAACUUAAAUACCCUCAGAGGAGAAAGAUAAAGAUAAAACAAAGGAAUCAAACACAAGUUAAAGAAGAAACAAAGGCAGCUUCAUUAAUUUCUAACAAGUGGUGGAUGAACGCAUGACAAACGUGUAACAAACGGUCAAUAAAGCAAAUUCAAUGUACAUAUUAUUAUGGUCCCAAAUAUAAAAUAAAUAAAUAAAAGUUGAACAAA